Molecule: ribosomal RNA, 497 nt
Filed under: uncultured bacterium
Lineage: Bacteria
Description: partial 16S ribosomal RNA
Rfam family: Bacterial small subunit ribosomal RNA
Source: RNAcentral
GAUGAACGCUGGCGGCGUGCCUAAUACAUGCAAGUCGAGCGAACAGACGAGGAGCUUGCUCCUCUGACGUUAGCGGCGGACGGGUGAGUAACACGUGGAUAACCUACCUAUAAGACUGGGAUAACUUCGGGAAACCGGAGCUAAUACCGGAUAAUAUAUUGAACCGCAUGGUUCAAUAGUGAAAGACGGUUUUGCUGUCACUUAUAGAUGUAUCCGCGCCGCAUUAGCUAGUUGGUAAGGUAACGGCUUACCAAGGCAACGAUGCGUAGCCGACCUGAGAGGGUGAUCGGCCACACGGGAACUGAGACACGGUCCAGACUCCUGCGGGAGGCAGCAGUAGGGAAUCUUCCGCAAUGGGCGAAAGCUUGACGGAGCAACGCCGCGUGAGUGAUGAAGGUCUUCGGAUCGUAAAACUCUGUUAUUAGGGAAGAACAAAUGUGUAAGUAACUAUGCACGUCUUGACGGUACCUAAUCAGAAAGCCACGGCUAACUACGUG